UCUCCUACGGGACGCAGCAGUGGGGAAUAUUGCACAAUGGGGGGAACCCUGAUGCAGCGACGCCGCGUGGGCGAUGGAGUAUUUCGGUAUGUAAAGCCCUAUCGGCAGGGAAGAAACUGACAGUACCUGACUAAGAAGCCCCGGCUAACUACGUGCCAGCAGCCGCGGUAAUACGUAGGGGGCAAGCGUUAUCCGGAUUCACUGGGCGUAAAGGGAGCGCAGGCGGCACGGCAAGCCCGGUGUGAAAACCCGGGGCCCAACCCCGGAAGUGCAUUGGGAACCGCCGCGCUCGAGUGCCGGAGGGG
This 305-nucleotide ribosomal RNA is filed under the name uncultured bacterium. Its description in RNAcentral is "bacterial SSU rRNA". It matches the Rfam family "Bacterial small subunit ribosomal RNA", at positions 335 to 657 of the family's 1533-position model. The record is from RNAcentral.